AUACGGAGGGGGUUAGCGUUGUUCGGAAUUACGGGGCGUAAAGCGCACGUAGGCGGAUUAAAAAGUUAGAGGUGAAAUCCCAGGGCUCAACCCUGGAACUGCCUUUAAAACUAGUAGUCUAGAGUUCGAGAGAGGUGAGUGGAAUUCCAAGUGUAGAGGUGAAAUUCGUAGAUAUUUGGAGGAACACCAGUGGCGAAGGCGGCUCACUGGCUCGAUACUGACGCUGAGGUGCGAAAGCGUGGGGAGCAAACAGGAUUAGAUACCCUAGUAGUCC
RNAcentral lists this ribosomal RNA (274 nucleotides) under uncultured bacterium. RNAcentral describes it as "partial 16S ribosomal RNA". It matches the Rfam family "Bacterial small subunit ribosomal RNA", at positions 523 to 796 of the family's 1533-position model. The record is from RNAcentral.